GAUGAACGCUGGCGGCGUGCUUAACACAUGCAAGUCGAACGAGAAGUGGAGACGGAAACCUUCGGGCGGAAGACUUUAUUUCGAGUGGCGGACGGGUGAGUAACGCGUGGGUAACCUGCCUCAUACAGGGGGAUAACAGUUUGAAACGACUGUUAAUACCGCAUAAGACCACAGCACCGCAUGGUGCGGGGGUAAAAACUCCGGUGGUAUGAGAUGGACCCGCGUUCGAUUAGCCAGUUGGCGGGGUAACGGCCCACCAAAGCGACGAUCGAUAGCCGAGCUGAGAGGAUGACCGGACACAUUGGGACUGAGACACAGCCGAAACUCCUACGGGAGGCAGCAGUGGGGAAUAGUGCACAAUGGGGGAAACCCUGAUGCAGCGACGCCGGGUGAGUGAAGAAGUAUGUCGGUAUGUAAAGCUCUAUCAGCAGGGAAGAAAAUGACGGUACCUGAGUAAGAAGCCCCGGCUAACUACGUG
Molecule: ribosomal RNA, 478 nt
Filed under: uncultured bacterium
Lineage: Bacteria
Description: partial 16S ribosomal RNA
Rfam family: Bacterial small subunit ribosomal RNA
Source: RNAcentral